This 205-nucleotide ribosomal RNA is filed under the name uncultured Chlamydiales bacterium. RNAcentral describes it as "partial 16S ribosomal RNA". It matches the Rfam family "Bacterial small subunit ribosomal RNA", at positions 307 to 504 of the family's 1533-position model. The record is from RNAcentral. Lineage: Bacteria; Pseudomonadati; Chlamydiota; Chlamydiia; Chlamydiales.
CCAACACUGGGACUGAGACACUGCCCAAACUCCUACGGGAGGCUGCAGUCGAGAAUCUUUCGCAAUGGGCGAAAGCCUGACGAAGCGACGCUGCGUGAGUGAUGAAGGCUUUCGGGUUGUAAAACUCUUUCGCGCAAGAGCAAAGUGGAUUAGUGAAUAACUGAUUCAUGUGAGAGUACUGCGUAAAGAAGCACCGGCUAACUCC